This 433-nucleotide ribosomal RNA is filed under the name uncultured bacterium. Its description in RNAcentral is "partial 16S ribosomal RNA". It matches the Rfam family "Bacterial small subunit ribosomal RNA", at positions 29 to 507 of the family's 1533-position model. The record is from RNAcentral.
AACGAACGCUGGCGGCAUGCCUAACACAUGCAAGUCGAACGAGACCUUCGGGUCUAGUGGCGCACGGGUGCGUAACGCGUGGGAACCUGCCCUUAGGUUCGGAAUAACUCCCCGAAAGGGGUGCUAAUACCGGAUAAUGUCUUCGGACCAAAGAUUUAUCGCCUUUGGAUGGGCCCGCGUUGGAUUAGCUAGUUGGUAGGGUAAAAGCCUACCAAGGCGACGAUCCAUAGCUGGUCUGAGAGGAUGAUCGGCCACACUGGGACUGAGACACGGCCCAGACUCCUACGGGAGGCAGCAGUGGGGAAUAGUGGAAAAGGGGCGAAAGCCUGAUCCAGCAAUGCCGCGUGAGUGAUGAAGGCCUUAGGGUUGUAAAGCUCUUUUACCCGGGAUGAUAAUGACAGUACCGGGAGAAUAAGCUCCGGCUAACUCCGUG